This 266-nucleotide ribosomal RNA is filed under the name uncultured bacterium. Its description in RNAcentral is "partial small subunit ribosomal RNA". It matches the Rfam family "Bacterial small subunit ribosomal RNA", at positions 26 to 285 of the family's 1533-position model. The record is from RNAcentral.
AGGACGAACGCUGGCGGCGUGCCUAACACAUGCAAGUGGAGCGACGACCCAGGCUUCGGCCUGGUGCAAAGCCGCGAACGGGUGAGUAACACGUGGGUAACCUGCCCCGAUGAUUGGGACAACCCGAGGAAACUCGGGCUAAUACCGAAUGUGCCCUGAAGCCGUAAGGCUGCUGGGGAAAGGAAGCUUCGGCCUCCGCAUCGGGAUGGGCCCGCGGCCCAUUAGCUUGUUGGUGAGGUAACGGCUCACCAAGGCGACGACGGGUA